Molecule: transfer RNA, 83 nt
Filed under: Chlorocebus sabaeus (green monkey)
Lineage: Eukaryota; Metazoa; Chordata; Mammalia; Primates; Cercopithecidae
Rfam family: tRNA
About the family: Transfer RNA (tRNA) molecules are approximately 80 nucleotides in length.
Source: Rfam by way of RNAcentral
GUCAGGAUAGCUGAGCAGUCUGAGGUGCUGCGUUCAGGUUGCAGCCUGCCCUGGAGGCGUGGGUUCGAAUCCCACUCCUGAAA